GCCAGCAUGUAUAUCACCCUGCAACUCACACCAGUCAGCCCACUGAAGCUCAGCAGCUGUGAGCCUGGCCAGUACCUGGAUGGGAGACCCCAUGGGAAAGCUUAAGUUGCUGCUGGAA
This 118-nucleotide ribosomal RNA is filed under the name Lepisosteus oculatus (spotted gar). The record is from RNAcentral. Lineage: Eukaryota; Metazoa; Chordata; Actinopteri; Semionotiformes; Lepisosteidae.